CAUUAUAGAAUAAAAUUGAACGGGCUGUUGCUCUCCUUAUGGUGGUGCACGCCUGUCAUAUUUAUCUCUCCCACUGUGCACAUUUUGUAGACCUGGUGUUUGGGAAUUGCUGUAGUCAGCUUUGCCCUUUGCCCUUGCCAGUCUAUGUUAUUUUAUCACAACCUCUGAAUGUUUUGAACUUUUUAUGAUGGAAAUUAUAUACAACUUUCAGCAACGGAUCUCUUGGCUCUCGCAUCGAUGAAGAACGCAGCGAAAUGCGAUAAGUAAUGUGAAUUGCAGAAUUCAGUGAAUCAUCGAAUCUUUGAACGCAUCUUGCGCUUCUUGGUAUUCCAAGGAGCAUGCCUGUUUGAGUGUCAUUAAAGUUCUCAAAACCCACAUGCUUGUCAUGUGGAAUUUUGGAUAUGGGGGUUUGCAGGCUUUUUAAAGUCGGCUCCUCUGAAAUGUAUCAGUGGUAUCUGUGUGGACUACAGGUGUGAUAAAUAAAAUCUAUGCCUUGCCCCUCACCGUGCUGCUUCUUCUGACGAGUUGGGAUUGACAAAUUUGACCUCAAAUCAGGUAGGACUACCCGCUGAACUUAAGCAUAUCAAUA
This 589-nucleotide ribosomal RNA is filed under the name Inocybe sp. LM5541. RNAcentral's name for it is "eukaryotic LSU rRNA". The stretch from base 203 to 356 matches the Rfam family "5.8S ribosomal RNA". Lineage: Eukaryota; Fungi; Basidiomycota; Agaricomycetes; Agaricales; Inocybaceae. The record is from RNAcentral.